ACAUGACCCAGGGAGAACGGCUAGCAUAUCCAAUGUAUAUAAUCAAAGAACUCCUAACAAGGAAUCAGGGCAAGAAACCUCAAUCUGUAUGUCAUAUAUGACAUUGCAUGUGUACUUUCAUCACACAUGCAUAAAAAAGCAGAAGCAAUGCAACAAGGCGUAUCUCUGGCUGUUCCAGCAUUCAUGUUUUUUGGUCAUAAAUUACAGUGUCAGGUAAUGAUUAACGCAGGUUAUGGGCACAAAUUACUUUUGUCUAAUUUAUUUUUGUUAUUAGUCUUUUGAUACUUAAACAUAAAGGGUUAUACAUAAAACAAUUAUGUUUGAGUUCAGUGUGCUGUAAGAAAGUGUCUUCAUAGGUUCUGUACAGUACGAGAAGAUUAAAAGGCUUUGGGCUAACAGAUGGAGAAGGUAUGGAGAGGUUAUGGUCCUUCCUUAGAAGAUUUGCUCGUAUCACAAAGAGAUGAGUCCAUCCCACCGGCUUGACCUCUUGACUGAAGCACUUCUUUAUUAUGGGAGGAGAAAAACAGCGGAUAUAGAAGUGCAGCUCCAUCACAGAUGGGAAAAAGCAGAGAAGGUCACUAAUCUAGCUAAAGAGGAGUUAGCUGCUGUCUUAAAAGAGGCACCAGGUAAACCUUUAAUAUUGUACUUUUAUUUAGUUAAGUGUUACACGAAUUGACUAUUCUGUUAGUCAAGAUUCUCAGUCGUCAAAGUUUUCUUAACAAGAAGGCAAGAAGGACAUCCAUGACUGACCUUCAAAAUGACUAAUACAUUCUUUUUAGCGAGUGUUUCAGAGCACAGUGUACAGAGAUGGAUGGAAACGGAGAACGAAGUAGCUAGAUUGACAGUUUUGAAAACCCAAAAUAGCAGGUAUCGUGUGGUGUGUGUGUGUGUGUGUGUGUGUGUGUGUGUGUGUGUGUGUGUGUGUGUGUGUGUGUGUGUGUGUGUGUGUGUGUGUGUGUGUGUGUGUGUGUGAUCUUGUUCAUUAUUUAACCAUAAUAUCUUGACCUUUGUUCUCUAGACAGUGUUCCCAAAUGGAAGAGGGUGUAUGUGACAACGCUGAUUGAGCUCCAGCACCUCAAGUAAGUAAGUGUACUUUGAAAAUUGCAUCAAUCUAAAUGAAUGCAAGAUUACUUCACUGUAUUUCAUGUUAAAAAAAUGUGACCCCAACAAUAAAUAUGUAAGCAUCUU
Molecule: long non-coding RNA, 1188 nt
Filed under: Betta splendens (Siamese fighting fish)
Lineage: Eukaryota; Metazoa; Chordata; Actinopteri; Anabantiformes; Osphronemidae
Description: lncRNA (ENSBSLG00000023200.1)
Source: RNAcentral